UCGAGAAUCUUCGGCAAUGGGCGCAAGCCUGACCGAGCGACGCCGCGUGCGGGAUGAAGGCCUUCGGGUUGUAAACCGCUGUCAGAGGGAAGGAAAUAUAUGAGGGUUAUCCCUCAUGUUUGACCGAUCCUCAGAGGAAGUACGGGCUAAGUUCGUGCCAGCAGCCGCGGUAACACGAACCGUACGAACGUUAUUCGGACUCACUGGGCUUAAAGGGUGCGUAGGCGGCCUGGUAAGUUGAGUGUGAAA
This 249-nucleotide ribosomal RNA is filed under the name uncultured Planctomycetaceae bacterium. RNAcentral's name for it is "partial 16S ribosomal RNA". It matches the Rfam family "Bacterial small subunit ribosomal RNA", at positions 355 to 599 of the family's 1533-position model. The record is from RNAcentral. Lineage: Bacteria; Pseudomonadati; Planctomycetota; Planctomycetia; Planctomycetales; Planctomycetaceae.